This 724-nucleotide ribosomal RNA is filed under the name uncultured Chlamydiae bacterium. Its description in RNAcentral is "bacterial SSU rRNA". It matches the Rfam family "Bacterial small subunit ribosomal RNA", at positions 777 to 1500 of the family's 1533-position model. Lineage: Bacteria; Pseudomonadati; Chlamydiota; Chlamydiia. The record is from RNAcentral.
AUUAGAUACCCUGGUAGUCCUUGUCGUAAACGAUGUGUACUUGAUGUAGUUAGGCUCAACCCUGACUGUGUCGUAGCUAACGCGAUAAGUACACCGCCUGAGGAGUACGCCCGCAAGGGUGAAACUCAAAAGAAUUGACGGGGGCCCGCACAAGCAGUGGAGCAUGUGGUUUAAUUCGAUGCAACGCGAAGAACCUUACCUGGGCUCGAAAUGCAGAGGGCGAUAUCAGAAAUGGUAUUUUCCGUAAGGACUUCUGUAUAGGUGCUGCAUGGCUGUCGUCAGCUCGUGCCGUGAGGUGUUGGGUUAAGUCCCGCAACGAGCGCAACCCUUAUCAUUAGUUGCCAACACGUAAGGUGGGGACUCUAAUGAGACUGCCUAGGUUAACUAGGAGGAAGGUGAGGAUGACGUCAAGUCCGCAUGGCCUUUAUGUCCAGGGCUACACACGUGCUACAAUGGUCGGUACAGAGGGCAGCAAGACCGUAAGGUGGAGCAAAUCCCAGAAAGCCGAUCUCAGUUCAGAUUGUGGUCUGCAACUCGACCACAUGAAGUCGGAAUUGCUAGUAAUGGCGAGUCAGCAACAUCGCCGUGAAUACGUUCCCGGGCCUUGUACACACCGCCCGUCACAUCAUGGGAGUUGGUUUCGCCCAAAGUGGCUGACUUAACCGCAAGGAAAGAGGUCACCAAGGUGAGGCCGAUGACUGGGAUGAAGUCGUAACAAGGCAUC